UACGAAGGGGGCUAGCGUUGUUCGGAUUUACUGGGCGUAAAGCGCACGUAGGCGGAUUGUUAAGUCAGGGGUGAAAUCCCGGAGCUCAACUCCGGAACUGCCUUUGAAACUGCAGUGCUAGAAUUCUGGAGAGGCGAGUGGAAUUCCGAGUGUAGAGGUGAAAUUCGUAGAUAUUCGGAAGAACACCAGUGGCGAAGGCGACUCGCUGGACAGACAUUGACGCUGAGGUGCGAAAGCGUGGGGAGCAAACAGG
This 253-nucleotide ribosomal RNA is filed under the name uncultured bacterium. RNAcentral describes it as "partial 16S ribosomal RNA". It matches the Rfam family "Bacterial small subunit ribosomal RNA", at positions 524 to 776 of the family's 1533-position model. The record is from RNAcentral.